UACGGAGGGUGCAAGCGUUGUCCGGAAUCACUGGGCGUAAAGGGCGCGUAGGCGGCUCAUGAAGGCUGUGGUGAAAGCCUGGGGCUCAACCCCGGGUCGGCCGUGCGAACUGGGGGGCUGGAGCACUGUAGAGGCAGGCGGAAUUCCGGGUGUAGCGGUGGAAUGCGUAGAGAUCCGGAAGAACACCGGUGGCGAAGGCGGCCUGCUGGGCAGUUGCUGACACUGAGGAGCGAAAGCGUGGGGAGCAAACAGG
RNAcentral lists this ribosomal RNA (253 nucleotides) under uncultured bacterium. RNAcentral's name for it is "partial 16S ribosomal RNA". It matches the Rfam family "Bacterial small subunit ribosomal RNA", at positions 524 to 776 of the family's 1533-position model. The record is from RNAcentral.